UGCGGCGUAGCUCAAUGGCGGAGCUUUCGGCUUAUAUCCGAACGGUUGUGGGUUCAAGUCCCACCGCCCCAA
Molecule: transfer RNA, 72 nt
Filed under: Caudoviricetes sp.
Lineage: Duplodnaviria; Heunggongvirae; Uroviricota; Caudoviricetes
Description: tRNA-Ile
Rfam family: tRNA
About the family: Transfer RNA (tRNA) molecules are approximately 80 nucleotides in length. Their secondary structure includes four short double-helical elements and three loops (D, anti-codon, and T loops).
Source: RNAcentral